GCGGGGGUUGCCGAGCUAGGCCAAAGGCGCAGCGUUGAGGGCGCUGUCCCGUAGGGGUCCAGGGGUUCGAAUCCCCUCCCCCGCA
Molecule: transfer RNA, 85 nt
Filed under: archaeon SCG-AAA382B04
Lineage: Archaea
Description: tRNA-Leu
Rfam family: tRNA
About the family: Transfer RNA (tRNA) molecules are approximately 80 nucleotides in length. Their secondary structure includes four short double-helical elements and three loops (D, anti-codon, and T loops).
Source: RNAcentral